RNAcentral lists this ribosomal RNA (319 nucleotides) under Halotalea alkalilenta. Its description in RNAcentral is "bacterial SSU rRNA". It matches the Rfam family "Bacterial small subunit ribosomal RNA", at positions 32 to 348 of the family's 1533-position model. The record is from RNAcentral. Lineage: Bacteria; Pseudomonadati; Pseudomonadota; Gammaproteobacteria; Oceanospirillales; Halomonadaceae.
CAACGCUGGCGGCAGGCCUAACACAUGCAAGUCGAGCGGCAGCACGGGGAGCUUGCUCCCUGGUGGCGAGCGGCGGACGGGUGAGUAAUGCAUGGGAAUCUGCCCGGUAGAGGGGGAUAACGUGUGGAAACGCACGCUAAUACCGCAUACGUCCUACGGGAGAAAGGAGGGGAUCUUCGGACCUUCCGCUAUCGGAUGAGCCCAUGUCGGAUUAGCUAGUUGGUAGGGUAAAGGCCUACCAAGGCAACGAUCCGUAGCUGGUCUGAGAGGAUGAUCAGCCACACUGGGACUGAGACACGGCCCAGACUCCUACGGGAGG